GAUGAACGCUGGCGGCGUGCUUAACACAUGCAAGUCGAACGGUGAAGCAGAGCUUGCUCUGUGGAUCAGUGGCGAACGGGUGAGUAACACGUGAGCAACCUGCCCUGGACUCUGGGAUAAGCGCUGGAAACGGCGUCUAAUACUGGAUACGAGACGUGGCCGCAUGGUCAACGUUUGGAAAGAUUUUUUGGUUCAGGAUGGGCUCGCGGCCUAUCAGCUUGUUGGUGAGGUAAUGGCUCACCAAGGCGUCGACGGGUAGCCGGCCUGAGAGGGUGACCGGCCACACUGUGACUGAGACACGGCCCAGACUCCUACGGGAGGCAGCAGUGGUGAAUAUUGCACAAUGGGCGAAAGCCUGAUGCAGCAACGCCGCGUGAGGGAUGACGGCCUUCGGGUUGUAAACCUCUUUUAUCAAGGAAGAAGCGAAAGUGACGGUACUUGCAGAAAAAGCGCCGGCUAACUACGUGCCAGCAGCCGCUGUAA
Molecule: ribosomal RNA, 483 nt
Filed under: uncultured bacterium
Lineage: Bacteria
Description: partial 16S ribosomal RNA
Rfam family: Bacterial small subunit ribosomal RNA
Source: RNAcentral